AAAACCUCACCUGAGUAUACAGACACUCAUUUAGCAGCAGGACAGUGAAGAGUACAGUUGGAUUAUUGUUUCCUCCUGGACAUUUACACACGCCUCACAUAGUAUGGGACUCAGACGGACAGCAAAAGUCAGGGGUGCAGGCCAAUCAUCAUGCUGCCUCCAGGACCACGCGGUCGGACGAGGACAGGGAUGCAGGCUGGGAUGCGUGGGGCACCUGGAGCGAGUGCUCACGCACCUGUGGGGGAGGAGCUUCCUACUCACUACGCAGAUGUCUGAACGGAAGAAACCGGCAGAAAUAGGCAGAAAUAUCCAGUACCGCACGUCCAGCAA
Molecule: long non-coding RNA, 330 nt
Organism: Engraulis encrasicolus (European anchovy)
Lineage: Eukaryota; Metazoa; Chordata; Actinopteri; Clupeiformes; Engraulidae
Exons: 3
Source: RefSeq, a predicted model, not a curated record